RNAcentral lists this long non-coding RNA (557 nucleotides) under Pan troglodytes (chimpanzee). RNAcentral describes it as "lincRNA". The record is from RNAcentral. Lineage: Eukaryota; Metazoa; Chordata; Mammalia; Primates; Hominidae.
AUCACUACUGCUGGGGUAUUUUGCUGCCAAGAUAAUGGUCUCUAUUAUGGAUUGAAUGUUAAUGGGCAGUCCUUUCCCCCAGACUACACCCAGCCCCUUCUGCAGCUCCACAUUUGAAGGCCUUGUCUAAGUGGCAUCUCAAUGAGAUGGGCAUGGAAGUCAUCCAACAGCUGCUGGAGGGACUGUGCAGAGUUACGACGGAGACAGUGACUCCUCCAAAGGGGUCUCGAGGGGAUGCAUUGUGCUGGAGUCUCAAUCAAGUGCCUGGAAGCUGAACGUGAAAAACAGUGCUGCCAGGAUUACAGAGAUACUGGCCAUAAAUGCAUUCGUGGGCUCUCAAGAAGCAUUAGGGAUGCCAUGAAGGAGGGGCAUUUUUACUUUGUGUCCUACCAAAUUCACUUAAUUAUACAUUGCAAUGAGGAAAGUGUGGGAAACAGCAAAUCUGAUCUUAGUGUGCCUUCGACUAAUCCAAGCUUAUUGUUUGUGAGUUACUAUUGUGAAAUGAUCCCCUGUGCAUAUAAUGCAGUUAGCUUCAAAUAAAAAUCUGUGGCUUCAGA